UCUCUGGCCCCCUCUUCCUCUUCCAAAAAGAUUCCCUCUAAACCGACCAAGCAGUAUGUCCCAAAGAAAACCCCCUCUAAACCGUCCUUGCCCUCUUCGCCUUUUUUAGACUCCACUAAAGUUGCCAAAAACCUAAAUUCUUCAUUUCUUCCGGCACAAUCAACCCUACCCUCUUUUCAUCCCUCUCUUCCACCACCCUCUAAAGAACCUCCCCCUCCUCCUCUGCCCACCAACCCCAGUUUUUCUUUUUCAUCCACUGAUAGCCCACCAGUUAAAUCAUUCAAACCUUCCCUGAAACGCUGCCGCUCUUCUCCUUCCCUCUCUCCCCCGCCCCCCUCUACUGUGAUAAACCCAUCUUCUUCCUCUAUUCCUUUUUCACCUUUUCUCCAUGAAGGUCUCGCUAACUUCAUUGCUGAAACCCCAUCUUUUGACCCCCCUC
Molecule: long non-coding RNA, 439 nt
Filed under: Brassica napus (rape)
Lineage: Eukaryota; Viridiplantae; Streptophyta; Magnoliopsida; Brassicales; Brassicaceae
Description: long non-coding RNA (BNAP_LNC004884)
Source: RNAcentral